RNAcentral lists this ribosomal RNA (2530 nucleotides) under Triticum aestivum (bread wheat). RNAcentral describes it as "partial small subunit ribosomal RNA". Lineage: Eukaryota; Viridiplantae; Streptophyta; Magnoliopsida; Poales; Poaceae. The record is from RNAcentral.
GGAAAGAAGUAGGAUAGGUCAUCGUGCUGGUGCGCGCGGCGACGGGAAACGGAGGCGGUGGUGGCGGCAGACACGCGCGGAAGGAAACGCAGGCCGUGGUGGCGGCAGGCGCGCGCGGAGGGAAACGGAGGCCGUGGUGGCGGCGGGAAACGGAGGCGGUUGUGGCGGCAGGCGCGCGCGGCGGUAAACGGAGGUCGUGGUGGCGGCAGUCGCGGCGGCGGGAAACGGAGGCGGGGGUGGCGACAGGUGCGCCGGCGGGAAACGGAGGCGGGGGUGGCGACAGGUGCGCCGGCGGGAAACGGAGGUGGUGACGAGGGCACGGAGACUAAACCUAGCUUCAGGGCCGUCAUCACCACGCCGCCCCCCGCCCCUCUUCCGCUCCCGCCGCCGCCGCCCACCACCCCGGACUUCUACUCCGUCAGGAAGAUCCUCUUACGGCCCCUGCCCGUUGCGCUGCUCCUACCACGCAGCCUCAACCUCUGACCUCACACGAGGUCGUCGCCCACCUCCCUGACGCAGUGCCACCACCCCUCGUUACCCAAGUACAGGUACCGGCCUGGUGGGACGGUAAUUUGAGCUUAGCAACACAACCUUGUACGGUAGGGAGUCGAUACCCUCGGCUACAACCCCCUCCUCCCUCCGGGAACGACCCUAACGUAAUCACACCACGCCCAACUCGACCUCGACCGAGGCUCGCUACAACCAAGUCCUACUACACACGCACGUAACGGUUUGUUUCUUCGUCCGUAGGUCAUCCUUUUUAUAAGUAGCCUCAAGAGUUCAACUUCAGUUUAACUGGUCGAUGCAAAGUUUCCAUUGUAGAUCUAAUAUGGAUUCUACUAUCAAACUACACAUCUAACCUUCUUUAGCGUGUGUGAUCUACGUCAACCAUAAAACUUUUAUUUCCGUCGUCAAAUGUAACUCUAGACCCUGAUUAACCAAGUAUAAAUAUGUACAAGGGUUGAACUUAUAACGUCAGCAACAGUGUUCGAAACGUUACCAUAACUAAAACCAGUUAGACCUAAUUUUAGAAAAUUUUCAUCUCGUUGGUUCACGUCUUAAAACAAAGCGUAGAUAUAUAGAUAAAGGUCUAUUUUUAAUUACACCCCGAGUAAUAUAAAGGUCAUACUCUACACCGAGUUAUCAUAAAUAUAGCGGUUACCGUUCGCGUGGCUCAAGUGAUUUUCGUUGUUCGUCCCGUCCCAGUUUCAGUAAUAUAAGUGGUACUACGUCUAACGGUAGUGUAAGUCUGGGUUUCUAGAUCCUUGAUACUUGAACUAAUUUUCCCGUCCCAGUUUCAGUUCUGGGCCCAAUCACCGCUGCUACUACCACCGGACGUCCGAUACCCAGAUCGUCGCAACGUCCGUCAUCACACGUCGCAAAAUGCCAUCCCGCACACUGGUCACUACCUCCCGAGCGCCGCCGACGUCUACCACCUCAUGAUCUGAACACCACCCGUGGGUAAGUAUUCUAGAUGUUGUAGUAGAAACCCAGUCAAGAGGUACUUCCGGUAGGACGCUAUUUUCCAACGCGGAAGGACGAUAAACCCACUGCUGCGGCUCGGACAGCCGGAUACGGGUAGCGAGGACUACACCAUUACACCGCCAGCAACAACAAACGGACGUCUCGGACACCUCUCCACCCUGAACGUCUCAUAUACAUCGUCUUUUCUAGGUUCAUAACCUCGGUUUGUUGACAGAUACGAUGGUGUAGUUCCACCCAACUACGUUUAUUUCAUUCCUGUCCUUAUAUGUCAUCGUCUUUCUGGUUCGUCGAACCAACGAGAAAGUAACUUGACCUACCUUCGCACGUACUCAAGAAACGUCCCUUGGUCAGUGUAAAACUUUUACUUCGAUAUAUGUUGUGACAAAAUCCCUAAUUACUUGACAAUCAUCGUCUCAGGAAGGACUACACUUUCGAUUAUGUAAAGAUACCAUUGGUAUGUAGUCAUGGAUACUAAUUUAUUAGAAGAAAAAGACUUUACUACUUUGGGCUUCAUAAGAUGCAUACAGUACUCGGUGAAUUACACGUUGACUCACGUGUGACAAUAGUUUUAAAAUAACCAGGUCGACUCUACAAAGGAAGACCAUAACGUUAAACACGCUCCAUUAUGGGUGUCAAAAACAACACUACAAUGAUACAGUCUUUUAAUGUACAGGUGAUGUAGUGAAUAAACAAUAAGAGAGUACAAGAACAGACUGGCAAUAUAAAAACGAGACUUGAAUGAUGGGGUCGAAACCAAAGAGACCGAAUUUGAUUAGACCUUCGUCCCAUAGUACACGGGCGAGUGGACAACCACGCCGACCACCUAUGUCUCUCUAGUUGCUACUCCUCUGGGAGCGGCAAGAAGGCUAACGUCGGUCAACGCCCUACACUACCGCCUCAACAAGACGUUGGCGGGUCCCCGGUACCUGCUACCUCUUGAAGGAUUGCGUCAUACGCUCGCCCCUGCUACCUCUUGAAGGACCGCGUCACACGCGCGCUCACCCAAAGUCCUGUCAAGUACCAUCUUCCAGUUCGAGUCUGACCG